AGCAGCCGCGGUAAUUCCAGCUCCAAUAGCGUAUAUUAAAGUUGUUGCAGUUAAAAAGCUCGUAGUUGAAUUUCGGGGUUAGUAAGUUGGUCAUGCCAUUGGUAUGCACUGGCUUUACUGAUUCCUCCUUCUUGACGAACCGUGAUGUCAUUAAUUUGGUGUUGCGGGAAAUCAGGACUGUUACUUUGAAAAAAUUAGAGUGUUUAAAGCAGGCUAACGCUUGAAUACAUUAGCAUGGAAUAAUGGAAUAGGACGUUAAUCCUAUUUUGUUGGUUUCUAGGAUCGACGUAAUGAUUAAUAGGGAUAGUUGGGGGCAUUAGUAUUCAAUUGUCAGAGGUGAAAUUCUUGGAUAUAUUGAAGACUAACUACUGCGAAAGCAUUUGCCAAGGAUGUUUUCAUUAAUCAAGAACGAAAGUUAGGGGAUCGAAGACGAUCAGAUACCGUCGUAGUCUUAACCAUAAACUAUGCC
This 469-nucleotide ribosomal RNA is filed under the name uncultured Glomus. Its description in RNAcentral is "SSU rRNA". It matches the Rfam family "Eukaryotic small subunit ribosomal RNA", at positions 569 to 1043 of the family's 1831-position model. The record is from RNAcentral. Lineage: Eukaryota; Fungi; Glomeromycota; Glomeromycetes; Glomerales; Glomeraceae.